CAGCUUCACCUGAUCUACUCCU
This 22-nucleotide non-coding RNA is filed under the name Mus musculus (house mouse). The record is from RNAcentral. Lineage: Eukaryota; Metazoa; Chordata; Mammalia; Rodentia; Muridae.